UACGAAGGGGGCUAGCGUUGCUCGGAAUCACUGGGCGUAAAGGGUGCGUAGGCGGGUCUUUAAGUCAGGGGUGAAAUCCUGGAGCUCAACUCCAGAACUGCCUUUGAUACUGAGGAUCUUGAGUUCGGGAGAGGUGAGUGGAACUGCGAGUGUAGAGGUGAAAUUCGUAGAUAUUCGCAAGAACACCAGUGGCGAAGGCGAUCACCUGGGGUUGUUCUGACGCUGAGGAGCGAAAGCUAGGGGAGCAAACGGG
RNAcentral lists this ribosomal RNA (253 nucleotides) under uncultured bacterium. RNAcentral describes it as "partial 16S ribosomal RNA". It matches the Rfam family "Bacterial small subunit ribosomal RNA", at positions 524 to 776 of the family's 1533-position model. The record is from RNAcentral.